CUAUACUUGCAAGUCGAGCGGACAGAAGGGAGCUUGCUCCCGGAUGUAGCGGCGGACGGGUGAGUAACACGUGGGUAACUGCCUGUAAGACUGGGAUAACUCCGGGAAACCGGAGCUAAUACCGGAUAGUUCCCUGAACCGCAUGGUUCAAGGAUGAAAGACGGUUUCGGCUGUCACUUACAGAUGGACCGCGGCGCAUAGCUAGUUGGUGAGGUAACGGCUCACCAAGGCGACGAUGCGUAGCCGACCUGAGAGGGUGAUCGGCCACACUGGGACUGAGACACGGCCCAGACUCCUACGGGAGGCAGCAGUAGGGAAUCUUCCGCAAUGGACGAAAGUCUGACGGAGCAACGCCGCGUGAGUGAUGAAGGUUUCGGAUCGUAAAGCUCUGUUGUUAGGGAAGAACAAGUGCAAGAGUAACUGCUUGCACCUUGACGGUACCUAACCAGAAAGCCACGGCUAACUACGUGCCAGCAGCCGCGGUAAUACGUAGGUGGCAGCGUUGUCCGGAAUUAUUGGGCGUAAAGGGCUCGCAGGCGGUUUCUUAAGUCUGAUGUGAAAGCCCCCGGCUCAACCGGGGAGGGUCAUUGGAAACUGGGAAACUUGAGUGCAGAAGAGGAGAGUGGAAUUCCACGUGUAGCGGUGAAAUGCGUAGAGAUGUGGAGGAACACCAGUGGCGAAGGCGACUCUCUGGUCUGUAACUGACGCUGAGGAGCGAAAGCGUGGGGAGCGAACAGGAUUAGAUACCCUGGUAGUCCACGCCGUAAACGAUGAGUGCUAAGUGUUAGGGGGUUUCCGCCCCUUAGUGCUGCAGCUAACGCAUUAAGCACUCCGCCUGGGGAGUACGGUCGCAAGACUGAAACUCAAAGGAAUUGACGGGGGCCCGCACAAGCGGUGGAGCAUGUGGUUUAAUUCGAAGCAACGCGAAGAACCUUACCAGGUCUUGACAUCCUCUGACAACCCUAGAGAUAGGGCUUUCCCUUCGGGGACAGAGUGACAG
This 1000-nucleotide ribosomal RNA is filed under the name Bacillus aerius. Its description in RNAcentral is "bacterial SSU rRNA". It matches the Rfam family "Bacterial small subunit ribosomal RNA", at positions 49 to 1037 of the family's 1533-position model. Lineage: Bacteria; Bacillati; Bacillota; Bacilli; Caryophanales; Bacillaceae. The record is from RNAcentral.